GCCUGCACCAUCGACCGACCAUGAUCUUCUGUGAAAGGUUUGAGUACGAGCAUACCUGUUGGGACCCGAAAGAUGGUGAACUAUGCCUGAGCAGGGCGAAGCCAGAGGAAACUCUGGUGGAGGCUCGUAGAUGUGCUGACGUGCAAAUCGCUUUUCGGACUUGGGUAUAGGGGCGAAAGACUACUAGUAGCUGGUUCCCUCCGAAGUUUCCCCCAGGAUAGCUGGAGCUUGAUCAGUUUUAUCGGGUAAAGCGAAUGAUUAGAGGUACCGGGGAUGAAACAUCCUCGACCUAUUCUCAAACUUUAAAUAGGUAAGACGUCUGGGUGUGCUUAAUUGAACCCAGGCAUUCAAUGAGAGCUCCAAGUGGG
This 368-nucleotide ribosomal RNA is filed under the name Trebouxia decolorans. Its description in RNAcentral is "eukaryotic LSU rRNA". It matches the Rfam family "Eukaryotic large subunit ribosomal RNA", at positions 751 to 1130 of the family's 3401-position model. Lineage: Eukaryota; Viridiplantae; Chlorophyta; Trebouxiophyceae; Trebouxiales; Trebouxiaceae. The record is from RNAcentral.